This 1404-nucleotide ribosomal RNA is filed under the name Lacticaseibacillus rhamnosus. RNAcentral describes it as "bacterial SSU rRNA". It matches the Rfam family "Bacterial small subunit ribosomal RNA". Lineage: Bacteria; Bacillati; Bacillota; Bacilli; Lactobacillales; Lactobacillaceae. The record is from RNAcentral.
GCUUGCAUCUUGAUUUAAUUUUGAACGAGUGGCGGACGGGUGAGUAACACGUGGGUAACCUGCCCUUAAGUGGGGGAUAACAUUUGGAAACAGAUGCUAAUACCGCAUAAAUCCAAGAACCGCAUGGUUCUUGGCUGAAAGAUGGCGUAAGCUAUCGCUUUUGGAUGGACCCGCGGCGUAUUAGCUAGUUGGUGAGGUAACGGCUCACCAAGGCAAUGAUACGUAGCCGAACUGAGAGGUUGAUCGGCCACAUUGGGACUGAGACACGGCCCAAACUCCUACGGGAGGCAGCAGUAGGGAAUCUUCCACAAUGGACGCAAGUCUGAUGGAGCAACGCCGCGUGAGUGAAGAAGGCUUUCGGGUCGUAAAACUCUGUUGUUGGAGAAGAAUGGUCGGCAGAGUAACUGUUGUCGGCGUGACGGUAUCCAACCAGAAAGCCACGGCUAACUACGUGCCAGCAGCCGCGGUAAUACGUAGGUGGCAAGCGUUAUCCGGAUUUAUUGGGCGUAAAGCGAGCGCAGGCGGUUUUUUAAGUCUGAUGUGAAAGCCCUCGGCUUAACCGAGGAAGUGCAUCGGAAACUGGGAAACUUGAGUGCAGAAGAGGACAGUGGAACUCCAUGUGUAGCGGUGAAAUGCGUAGAUAUAUGGAAGAACACCAGUGGCGAAGGCGGCUGUCUGGUCUGUAACUGACGCUGAGGCUCGAAAGCAUGGGUAGCGAACAGGAUUAGAUACCCUGGUAGUCCAUGCCGUAAACGAUGAAUGCUAGGUGUUGGAGGGUUUCCGCCCUUCAGUGCCGCAGCUAACGCAUUAAGCAUUCCGCCUGGGGAGUACGACCGCAAGGUUGAAACUCAAAGGAAUUGACGGGGGCCCGCACAAGCGGUGGAGCAUGUGGUUUAAUUCGAAGCAACGCGAAGAACCUUACCAGGUCUUGACAUCUUUUGAUCACCUGAGAGAUCAGGUUUCCCCUUCGGGGGCAAAAUGACAGGUGGUGCAUGGUUGUCGUCAGCUCGUGUCGUGAGAUGUUGGGUUAAGUCCCGCAACGAGCGCAACCCUUAUGACUAGUUGCCAGCAUUUAGUUGGGCACUCUAGUAAGACUGCCGGUGACAAACCGGAGGAAGGUGGGGAUGACGUCAAAUCAUCAUGCCCCUUAUGACCUGGGCUACACACGUGCUACAAUGGAUGGUACAACGAGUUGCGAGACCGCGAGGUCAAGCUAAUCUCUUAAAGCCAUUCUCAGUUCGGACUGUAGGCUGCAACUCGCCUACACGAAGUCGGAAUCGCUAGUAAUCGCGGAUCAGCACGCCGCGGUGAAUACGUUCCCGGGCCUUGUACACACCGCCCGUCACACCAUGAGAGUUUGUAACACCCGAAGCCGGUGGCGUAACCCUUUUAGGGAGCGAGCCG